GCCCAGAUGGCGGAAUUGGUAGACGCACUAGGUUCAGGUCCUAGCGGUGGUAACACUGUGGAGGUUCGAGUCCUCUUCUGGGCACCA
This 87-nucleotide transfer RNA is filed under the name Burkholderiales bacterium. RNAcentral's name for it is "tRNA-Leu". It matches the Rfam family "tRNA". Rfam says of the family: Transfer RNA (tRNA) molecules are approximately 80 nucleotides in length. Their secondary structure includes four short double-helical elements and three loops (D, anti-codon, and T loops). RNAcentral also lists the same sequence under 3 other names. Lineage: Bacteria; Pseudomonadati; Pseudomonadota; Betaproteobacteria; Burkholderiales. The record is from RNAcentral.